This is a long non-coding RNA of Neogale vison (American mink), 778 nucleotides long. RefSeq lists it as uncharacterized. The record is from RefSeq and is a predicted model, not a curated record. The transcript is spliced from 3 exons. NCBI's taxonomy places the organism in Eukaryota, Metazoa, Chordata, Mammalia, Carnivora, Mustelidae.
CGUGCUGUGCAAGGUGGUCGCACGCGAGCGCGUGGACUGCUGGUGCGCGGGCGGUCUCCGUGCAGAGCGCGCGGGCGCGGGGCGUGGUCAGUGAGCUACAAAAACGCAUGUCCAAGGAUUGCCAGCAGCCACCAGAGCUGAGAAGAGGCAAGGAUUCUUCCCUGGAACCGUCAAAGGCAGCACAGCCCUGUUGAUAGCCUGAUUUGGGGCUUCUAGUCUCCAAAACUGCAACGAACAUCUCAAAUCUGGAUUUUUGCGAUAGUCUCCGCAGGAGACACACCUGCUGAAAUUCAUCCUGCAGGCCACACCUGUCUGAUUCAGUCAGUGCUGGAAGGAGAGGGUAGUCCUUGGACGGCUCCUGCGAAAUGUCUGGACCUGAGAACUUGAAUUUCAGGGGAGCUCUCUCAACAGUUCAUUCUGAUGCAGACUAGAAAAGGCAUAUAACAUGGCUCAUCUUAGUGUCUUCUGGACCCUCAGCCUCUGGUUCCAGAAGCCUCCAUCUGCUGCAGUUUAAGAAAUGCACUUAAAGAUUUGGGAGAGGCCAAAGACCUGGAUGGGCUAUUCAGGCAGGUGCUUAGAGAACGCUUGAUCCUUGUUGGAGCUUUUCCAAGCCAGAAUGUGAAUAUAUUACAGCCAUAUUUGUGGUAUAUUAGCAUAUUCUCACCUGUGUAAAAUAAACUCUCCAGUGGAAACUGAAUCUGUGCGGCUGUUGAAUGGACAAAGAAGUUGUGGUACACAAAUACACACACACACACACACACUGGAAUAUUAUGCAACC